GUGAAAAACUUCUUUAAUAGCAAUGUACUUUAUCUGCUUCUGCCAGCGAAGUACUAAAGCAUUUCCUUCUGCCAUUUAAUCAAACACUGGAGGAGUCCUUAUAGCUGAAUACAUGCAGUGCGCAAGUUCCAAUCUUAUAAGCAAAUUCGCCGCAUUUCCCCUAUUUUCGAAUAAAGUUUUUAUUCAACACAUUCGUGCGUUGAAUUUUAAAUACAUAUUCAACAUACAAGCGUACACUUUGUUAUCACCUGUUGUUACCGCUCUCCGAAUAACUAAGCCGCAGCAACUGCUUCUUGUUUUAUGUUUAAUAAAGUAGAAAGAAAUCGCUUGAAAUGAUUGUGGAGAUUUAGAUUUCUCGCUAAUAAAAACGAAACUUUCUCCUUCUACUCUGUCAAAAAUAAUUUAUUAUUGUUAGAAAUUAUUUACUACUAAUAAUUAUAUUCUUUCACCUUGUUUUUAUAGCCAAGAUAGUUACACUAUAUAUUGAACACUUUAUGUUUCAUCUUAUGAUCGGUAAAACUCCAUUAAGAGCUAUUCGGAAUACUUAGUUAUCGAUCAUGAGAGGCUUCGAUUUGUAAAUCCGACUAUAUCCUUUUUGAAUUUUAUUUAAUUUAUUUUUAUACCUUGUAGAUACAAUCAGAUUCAGCACUUAUCAUCCAUAUUAGGGUCGAUUGAAGCAAUUGGAGCCAUCACUUAAGAUUGCUACAAGGAACACAAGUUAUUCUCAUAGCGUUGAACAACAGCUUUAUUUGACUCUUCCAUACAGUACUCUCGAGUAUUCUGCUGCCUUUAGAGUUAUGAAGAAAGCCCAUUAAAUGAAGAAAGCCCAUUACAAAAUCCAUUAUUAAUUCAUCAUUGAUUGGAGGUUGCUUGGUUCUGAACCAUAACUGAUAUUGUGUGAUAUUGAUCUUAAGAUGUAGAAAAAAAGUCGGUUAUUUCAACUCUGUCACACAGAAGUGUGACUUCAGCUUUGAUAUUAUAUUACCUUAUUUUUUUUCAAUAAGAGAGCGCAUGGAUAUGGUUAUCGAUGUAACAGAACCUUUGGACAUCCUCAAUAUGUGAGAAACCUAGUUCGAAAUUGUAGAGGAGAAACAUCUUCAGCAAAAGAAGUGAACGAAUAAAUCACCAAUAAUAAUUAAUUAUACCAGAUAAAAUAUAAUCCUAUUGAUUCUUGUAAGAUUAAAAUUUUUUAAACUUAAGAAACAAGAAGCAGUGGGAACAAUUUUCUAUUGUUCGUAAUGUCCUUGAUCUGCUGCUAAUAUGUCUAUGUUAAUAUAAAACCGCAAUAGAUUUAUUUA
Long non-coding RNA from Teleopsis dalmanni, 1298 nucleotides. RefSeq lists it as uncharacterized. The record is from RefSeq and is a predicted model, not a curated record. The transcript is spliced from 3 exons. Lineage: Eukaryota; Metazoa; Arthropoda; Insecta; Diptera; Diopsidae.